AAUGAACGUUGGCGGCAUGGAUUAGGCAUGCAAGUCGAGCGAGAAGAGUUUUGAAGCUUGCUUUAGAACUCGGACAGCGGCGAAAGGGAGAGUAACGCGUAGUUAUGUGCCCUAGGGUCCGGAAUAGCCACGGGAAACUGUGGGUAAUGCCGGAUAAUAUCCCCGGAUCAAAGGUGUGAUUCCGCCCUAGGAGCAGACUGCGUCCUACUAGCUAGUUGGUGGGGUAAUGGCCCACCAAGGCAAUGAUGGGUAGCGGGUGUGAGAGCAUGACCCGUCUCACUGGGACUGAGACACUGCCAAGACACCUACGGGUGGCUGCAGUCGAGAAUCUUCGGCAAUGGGCGAAAGCCUGACCGAGCGAUGCCGCGUGCGGGAUGAAGGCCCUCGGGUUGUAAACCGCUGUCGUAGGGGAGGAAGGUUCCGUGAAGAGCGGGACUUGACCUAUCCUAGGAGGAAGUACGGGCUAAGUUCGUGCCAGCCGCCGCAGUAA
Molecule: ribosomal RNA, 490 nt
Filed under: uncultured bacterium
Lineage: Bacteria
Description: partial 16S ribosomal RNA
Rfam family: Bacterial small subunit ribosomal RNA
Source: RNAcentral